CCUGGCUCAGAACGAACGCUGGCGGCGUGGUUGACACAUGCAAGUCGAGCGGGAACGUUCCCUUCGGGGAACCAGUACAGCGGCAGACGGGUGAGUAACGCGUGAUCAAUCUGCCCUUGGGAGAGGAAUAGCCAUUCGAAAGAGUGAGUAAUACCUCAUAAGACUACAGCAUCGCAUGGUGCAGUGGUAAAAAGGUUGGGAUCUUCGGACCUUCCGCCCAAGGAUGAGAUCGCGUCCUAUUAGCUUGUUGGUGAGGUAACGGCUCACCAAGGCAGCGAUGGGUAGCCGGCCUUAGCGGGUGGACGGCCACACUGGAACUGAGACACGGUCCAGACUCCUACGGGAGGCUGCAGUGCUGAAUUAUUCGCCAAUGCGCGAAAGCGUGACGGUGCGACGCCGCGUGCGGGACGAAGGCCCUAGGGUCGUAAACCGCUGUCAGGGCUUCGGAAACCGUAGAGGUUAAUAGCCUCUGCGCUGACCAGGCCCAAAGGAAGCACAGGCUAAUCUCGUGCCAGCAGCCGCGGUAAUACGAGAUGUGCGAGCGUUGUUCGGAAUUACUGGGCAUAAAGGGUGCGCAGGCGGCCAUGUAAGUCAGGUGUGAAAUCCCUCGGCUCAACCGGGGAAUUGCAUCUGAUACUGCAUGGCUUGAGAACGAAAGGGGCAAGCGGAAUUCCAGGUGUAGCGGUGGAAUGCGUAGAUAUCUGGGAGAACGCCAAUGGCGAAGGCAGCUUGCUGGGUCGUUUCUGACGCUCAAUGCACGAAAGCUAGGGGAGCAAACAGGAUUAGAUACCCUGGUAGUCCUAGCUGUAAACGAUGGGUACUAGGUUCCGGGAUUCCUGAUGAUUUCGGAGCCGCAGUUAAUGCGUUAAGUACCCCGCCUGGGGAGUAUGGUCGCAAGGCUAAAACUCAAGGGAAUUGAGGGGGCUCCAAAAAGCGGUGGAGCAUGUGUUCAAUUCGAAGCACGCGAAGAACUUACCUGGGUUA
This 984-nucleotide ribosomal RNA is filed under the name uncultured organism. RNAcentral's name for it is "bacterial SSU rRNA". It matches the Rfam family "Bacterial small subunit ribosomal RNA", at positions 18 to 982 of the family's 1533-position model. The record is from RNAcentral.